AUUGAACGCUGGCGGAAUGCUUUACACAUGCAAGUCGAACGGUAGAGGGGGCAACCCCUCGAGAGUGGCGAACGGGUGAGUAAUAUAUCGGAACGUGCCCAGUCGUGGGGGAUAACGUAGCGAAAGUUACGCUAAUACCGCAUACGAUCUAAGGAUGAAAGCGGGGGAUCGCAAGACCUCGCGCGAUUGGAGCGGCCGAUAUCAGAUUAGGUAGUUGGUGGGGUAAAGGCGCACCAAGCCAACGACCUGUAGCUGGUCUGAGAGGACGACCAGCCACACUGGAACUGAGACACGGUCCAGACUCCUACGGGAGGCAGCAGUGGGGAAUUUUGGACAAUGGACGCAAGUCUGAUCCAGCCAUUCCGCGUGCAGGAUGAAGGCCCUCGGGUUGUAAACUGCUUUUGUACGGAACGAAAAGGUCUCUCUUAAUACGGGGGACUCAUGACGGUACCGUAAGAAUAAGCACCGGCUAACUACGUGCCAGCAGCCGCGGUAA
Molecule: ribosomal RNA, 496 nt
Filed under: uncultured bacterium
Lineage: Bacteria
Description: partial 16S ribosomal RNA
Rfam family: Bacterial small subunit ribosomal RNA
Source: RNAcentral